GUGUUGUCUUCUAUAAAACCUGAAAAUAUUUCUUUACUUUUACUAUAAAAAUAAAAAAUGAAAAUAAUAGAUCUAUCAGGGAGAAACAUAUUAAUUUGGACGUGAAAUGCAUAGGAACUCUGUGAUAUUUGUGAUUUGAGUGUUGUGUCCCCAAACAUUCAAUUGACUGGAUGAAGUGUAUUUUAUUAUAAUUUACUUGAUGUCUUAUUCCUGGUUUUCUCUAAAUGCGUUUAUUUUUGACAAAAAAAAUUCUAGGAUCGACUUAUUGCAAACAUGUUCUUAAAACGUUUCGAAAUUUCCACUCGUGAAGAUAACCAAUGAGGAGUACAACUUAAUAAAAGGAAUGCAGUUAUGACACGUUUUAUAAUCAUAAAAAUAAGUAAACCGAACAGAUAUAUUAUAAUAACAAGGUAUUUUAUUAACCAAUCAUGGUGCCCAACAUUUGAGCUAUACAAUAAAAUGAAUUGUAAAAUAAAGCACAGUAAUUUAUUAGAAUGAUUAGAGUUAUUAAAGUACCUAUAAACAAAGUAACAAAAUUAUAAACAAUGUUAUUGAUAAAAUACUAAGUCGUUUUGAAGCAACUGCAACCUACAGAAAAUAUUUUUUUAAUCAAUGGGUAAACCUCGGACUAAGAGAGACAACUCUUGGUCAAAUUUUUAUAAUUCUAGAUAUCAAAUUUCAAUUAUAUGUCUAGGAGUUUUAUUGGUUCUUAAACAAGUGAUUUAAAAUAUUUUUGAAAAUUAAACAAAUCUGCUGAUGACAUAAUAUAAAAAAUGGCAUAUAAUCAGCUUACUUUGUUUUGUUUUAAUUCAUAAUAUAAAGACCGAUGUUGUGAUCUGCUAUCUUUAGAGGAGAACAUUCGAAAAGAAAUGAAAAUAAUCUGCAAUGGCGUAUUUUAAAACAUAGCUUUUCGAAUGUGCAUCGGAGAAAAAGUAUAAUAGUUUAGUGUAUAUAUGGAUUGCAAUGUUAUCAACACUACCGUUUGCUAAAAAAAACUAAAAAUAGACCAUGGUAUUCGCUAAAUAAUUGUGUUUUCAUCAACAUAUGUUUUCAAACUAUUUCAUUUACUAUCUUAGUAAAUGAACAUGUAUUGCAUACGUUAUUUCAAACAUUAGUGUUCAAGUUAAAUACAUUCAAAAGUAUGUACAGAUUAAAUGAAAAGAAAAUGUAUAGCUCUUAUUUAUUUGAAAGUUGUACAGCACUCGGAUAACUUAACAUACACUAGUCUGAAUUUUCGGAUUAUAAAGAUAAAUGUGGUUACUCAAUAAUUUUGGUUGCGUAACGUCAAGGAAAAGAACAGAAAAAUAGCAACUUUAAACAUGUGUAAUCUUCCAUAAAACCUAACAAUGUGCAUCGGUUAGUAGAUAAGUGCAAAAUAUAAAGAUUGAGAAUAAGAAAAAAACAAUAUUUUAGACGUGAAAUACCAUAGACCCUUGCAAUUGUUGUGAUUCAAUAAAACAAUAAAAUUAUAGGUCACAAGAAGUUUUAAUUUACUACGAAAUUAUUUUUUUUUAUCAACUUACUUAUGUUUGAUUCUUGUUAUUCUCCUAAUGUAUUUAUCUUUGACGAUGUUUGUUUUCUAGAAUCGACUUACUAUUAUCAUGUAUUUAAACUAUUUCCAUUAUUAUAGAUAACACAUGAGGAGUACAACAUAACAAAAGAAAUGCAGCUAUGACACUUUUUUAUAAACACAAAGAUGUAAGUAAAUCAAACAAGAAACAUUAUAAUAACAAGAUACAUGAUAAUUGAAAGAUAUUGUAUAAACCAUCCACGGUGCCCAAAUUUCAGGUUUACAAUAAAAUGAAUUUCAAAAUAAAACACAGAAAUUGAUCAGAAUGAUAAAAGUGAUUAUAAUACAUUUCAUCAAAGUAACAACAUUAAACUUCAUGUCAUUGAUAAGAUAAGUCAUUUUGAAGCACCAACGACCUGAAAACAAUGGAUUUCUGAAUACAGGUGUAAACCAAGGACUAAGAGGAGAGACAAAUGAUGAUCAA
This 1994-nucleotide long non-coding RNA is filed under the name Mytilus galloprovincialis (Mediterranean mussel). Lineage: Eukaryota; Metazoa; Mollusca; Bivalvia; Mytilida; Mytilidae. The record is from RNAcentral.